GUCACUAUUACACGGAAGGGAAUUUCCCCUAUAAAAUCGUUGCCAGUUGAACGUUGGUCUCACUGCCUGGCUCUUCUACAGAAGAGAAACAUCAGAGCAAGGUAACGAUCUAAAAUGGCAUCCUUCAUUAAGGUGGCUUACGUUCUAAUCGUGUUGAGCAUUGCAGCAGAUUUCAUUAAUCUGAAACGCAACUGGUUUGACACCGAACGAAAUGGUGAAGGGCUGGCUGUCCAUUCCUCCUCGCUGUUUCUUCCUGGAGCUAAUGGCUGGCUAAGCGUUGCGAAAACUAUUGGGAGAGCUGCC
This is a long non-coding RNA of Exaiptasia diaphana, 303 nucleotides long. RefSeq lists it as uncharacterized. The record is from RefSeq and is a predicted model, not a curated record. NCBI's taxonomy places the organism in Eukaryota, Metazoa, Cnidaria, Anthozoa, Actiniaria, Aiptasiidae. The transcript has 2 exons.